Molecule: ribosomal RNA, 468 nt
Filed under: uncultured bacterium
Lineage: Bacteria
Description: partial 16S ribosomal RNA
Rfam family: Bacterial small subunit ribosomal RNA
Source: RNAcentral
GACGAACGCUGGCGGCGUGCUUAACACAUGCAAGUCGAACGGAAAGGCCCUGCUUUUGUGGGGUGCUCGAGUGGCGACCGGGUGAGUAACACGUGAGUAACCUGCCCUUGACUUUGGGAUAACUUCAGGAAACUGGGGCUAAUACCGGAUAGGAGCUCCUGCUGCAUGGUGGGGGUUGGAAAGUUUCGGCGGUUGGGGAUGGACUCGCGGCUUAUCAGCUUGUUGGUGGGGUAGUGGAUUACCAAGGCUUUGACGGGUAGCCGGCCUGAGAGGGUGACCGGCCACAUUGGGACGGAGAUACGGCACAGACUCCUACGGGAGGCAGCAGUGGGGAAUAUUGCACAAUGGGCGGAGGCAUGAUGCAGCAACGCCGCGUGCGGGAUGACGGCCUUCGGGUUGUAAUCCGCUUUCGCCUGUGACGAAGCGUGAGUGACGGUAAUGGGUAAAGAAGCACCGGCUAACUCCGUG